RNAcentral lists this ribosomal RNA (497 nucleotides) under uncultured bacterium. RNAcentral describes it as "partial 16S ribosomal RNA". It matches the Rfam family "Bacterial small subunit ribosomal RNA", at positions 28 to 507 of the family's 1533-position model. The record is from RNAcentral.
GAUGAACGCUGGCGGCGUGCCUAAUACAUGCAAGUCGAGCGAACGGACGAGGAGCUUGCUUCUCUGACGUUAGCGGCGGACGGGUGAGUAACACGUGGAUAACCUACCUAUAAGACUGGGAUAACUUCGGGAAACCGUAGCUAAUACCGGAUAAUAUUUUGAACCGCAUGGUUCAAAAGUGAAAGACGGUUUUGCUGUCACUUAUAGAUGGAUCCGCGCUGCAUUAGCUAGUUGGUAAGGUAACGGCUUACCAAGGCAACGAUGCAUAGCCGACCUGAGAGGGUGAUCGGCCACACUGGAACUGAGACACGGUCCAGACUCCUACGGGAGGCAGCAGUAGGGAAUCUUCCGCAAUGGGCGAAAGCCUGACGGAGCAACGCCGCGUGAGUGAUGAAGGUCUUCGGAUCGUAAAACUCUGUUAUUAGGGAAGAACAAAUGUGUAAGUAACUAUGCACGUCUUGACGGUACCUAAUCAGAAAGCCACGGCUAACUACGUG